This 192-nucleotide ribosomal RNA is filed under the name uncultured bacterium. RNAcentral describes it as "partial 16S ribosomal RNA". It matches the Rfam family "Bacterial small subunit ribosomal RNA", at positions 337 to 521 of the family's 1533-position model. The record is from RNAcentral.
UCCUACGGGAGGCAGCAGUGGGGAAUAUUGGACAAUGGGCGAAAGCCUGAUCCAGCCAUGCCGCGUGUGUGAAGAAGGUCUUCGGAUUGUAAAGCACUUUAAGUUGGGAGGAAGGGCAUUAACCUAAUACGUUAGUGUUUUGACGUUACCGACAGAAUAAGCACCGGCUAACUACGUGCCAGCAGCCGCGGU